Micromonospora nigra is the source of this 75-nucleotide non-coding RNA. It matches the Rfam family "ASpks TB sRNA". Lineage: Bacteria; Bacillati; Actinomycetota; Actinomycetes; Micromonosporales; Micromonosporaceae. The record is from Rfam.
CUUCACCGACCCCAACAACAACGGCUCGCGCCCGUCCCGGCCCUGCCCGUACGUCGCCAGCAGCGCCUGCGCCUC